This 393-nucleotide ribosomal RNA is filed under the name uncultured bacterium. Its description in RNAcentral is "partial 16S ribosomal RNA". It matches the Rfam family "Bacterial small subunit ribosomal RNA", at positions 523 to 918 of the family's 1533-position model. The record is from RNAcentral.
AUACGGAGGAUGCGAGCGUUAUCCGGAUUUAUUGGGUUUAAAGGGAGCGUAGGUGGGAUAUUAAGUCAGCUGUGAAAGUUUGGGGCUCAACCUUAAAAUUGCAGUUGAUACUGGUUUCCUUGAGUACGGUACAGGUGGGCGGAAUUCGUGGUGUAGCGGUGAAAUGCUUAGAUAUCCCGAAGAACUCCGAUCGCGAAGGCAGCUCACCGGGCCGGAACUGACACUGAUGCUCGAAAGUGCGGGUAUCAAACAGGAUUAGAUACCCUGGUAGUCCGCACAGUAAACGAUGAAUACUCGCUGUUUGCGAUACACUGUAAGCGGCCAAGCGAAAGCGUUAAGUAUUCCACCUGGGGAGUACGCCGGCAACGGUGAAACUCAAAUGAAUUGGCGGGG